CAUUUCAGUGUGUUUUACCUCACUUUGGUGUCCAGUUCCAGAUACAUGAACCUAGGGGCUGGUAAGACCUAUCACUUCUCAUGGCGAGUGACUCCGAAUACUUAAAACUGGGAUAAAACAAACUCUUACUGCUUGUCUUGGUAGAGGCUUCCAGCUAGUUAGUAUCAAAGACAAGAAUGACUUUAUAGUUAUCGCCAGAAGUGGAUUCCAGUUGAUGUGCACAAGCGGCAACGAGGCACGACCUGGAGGUGGUCAACCAGGGAAACUAACCUACACAAACUGGUCUCACAGGAAGGCUCUAGCGACCACAGCCAGACAUCAGGGAAGGCGACGAGGACUCUCCCGGGGUACUGCAUAACAUCUAUAACAACGGCAUAGUGGCAAGAUAUUGCAUGUCAUAACGUAAAAUCUGUGAGACCAGCCUUUAAAUUUUGUUCUCCAGAAAAUGGCCUAGUUUACUGAAUGGUGAUUUUGUAAAAUAUAAAUUGGCGCAUAAUUUUCUAGUGCCUUAGCCAGGAGGACUCUUAAGGCUUUGUCUAUACAACUUAGCACGAAGGACUUGAAGUGUCGUUAGGGUAAUAGAUGCUUUGUAUUUUUCCUAAAACUAAAAAAUAAAUCUUGGUUAAGGAAACUGUUAAUAGUUUGACUUGUCACAAUGACAUGACAUGGUGGGGAAAGAAAAUUUUGCAUGAAAUUCUAGAAAGACAUUAUUAACAAAAGCAUGUAUCAUGAGGUUUCUAAUGAGAUUAUUAAAAUUUAGACCAAAGAUGGUGUUGCACGCAUGUUCAGUGUCGAGCUAGUUCCAUCUAAAUGUUUCACGUGAACUAAGAUGUUUUGCAUUGGUAAUGGGUAUCAUUUUUAUUUGGUUGACGGUGAUUUUUUACUUAUUGAAUACCAAAGAUGCAGGAGCCGGCUACACAUGGCCUGGCAA
Procambarus clarkii (red swamp crayfish) is the source of this 931-nucleotide long non-coding RNA. RefSeq lists it as uncharacterized. NCBI's taxonomy places the organism in Eukaryota, Metazoa, Arthropoda, Malacostraca, Decapoda, Cambaridae. The record is from RefSeq and is a predicted model, not a curated record.